AUUGAACGCUGGCGGCAGGCCUAACACAUGCAAGUCGAACGAGUGGCGGACGGGUGAGUAAUGUAUGGGGAACUGCCCGAUGGAGGGGGAUAACUACUGGAAACGGUAGCUAAUACCGCAUACUAUCGGAUGAACCCAGAUGGGAUUAGCUAGUAGGUGAGGUAAUGGCUCACCUAGGCGACGAUCCCUAGCUGGUCUGAGAGGAUGAUCAGCCACACUGGAACUGAGACACGGCCCAGACUCCUACGGGAGGCAGCAGUGGGGAAUAUUGCACAAUGGGCGCAAGCCUGAUGCAGCCAUGCCGCGUGUAUGAAGAAGGCCUUCGGGUUGUAAAGUACUUUCAGCGGGGAGGCGUUACCCACAGAAGAAGCACCGGCUAACUCCGUGCCAGCAGCCGCGGUAAUUC
RNAcentral lists this ribosomal RNA (406 nucleotides) under uncultured bacterium. RNAcentral describes it as "partial 16S ribosomal RNA". It matches the Rfam family "Bacterial small subunit ribosomal RNA", at positions 30 to 526 of the family's 1533-position model. The record is from RNAcentral.